UUCAUUCUGUUACUAGUAAGUUCAAGGGAAAUGAUACUGAACCACCUCAUAACAGCAUUCCCUGGGUUAACAACUGACUAUAAAAGUAUGCUAAAAAUAGCCUUUGUUUUUAAGUCUCCCAAGUUGUAGCUCGGCCUCUAUACUGACAUUUGCUUUCAGUGAGCUUUCAGUGAGCAUGGAUGAUUUUGUGUCCACAAAGCUUUGUUCUGUGUUACCUUUUUAAUUCAGUGAGUGGUUAUUACUAGAAUUCCUAUCCCAAAAAAAGGAAAAGCCUUUGCUGAUAUUUUUAUAUAAAGCUUAAUAGAUAGUCUAAGGAGACUGUAAACAUUUACAUAACUAAAGUUACCUGAAAAUUCAAGGACCAUUGAUAAGGAAUCUGUCUUGAACUGAUAACAUUAAAGAGGUCUUAAUAAACGAGCAAGUAGAAAUUUUU
RNAcentral lists this long non-coding RNA (433 nucleotides) under Bos taurus (domestic cattle). Its description in RNAcentral is "long non-coding RNA NONBTAT022414". Lineage: Eukaryota; Metazoa; Chordata; Mammalia; Artiodactyla; Bovidae. The record is from RNAcentral.